GGGACACGUGGUAUCCUGUCUGAAUAUGGGGGGACCAUCCUCCAAGGCUAAAUACUCCUGACUGACCGAUAGUGAACCAGUACCGUGAGGGAAAGGCGAAAAGAACCCCGGCGAGGGGAGUGAAAAAGAACCUGAAACCGUGUACGUACAAGCAGUGGGAGCCUCUUUUAUGGGGUGACUGCGUACCUUUUGUAUAAUGGGUCAGCGACUUAUAUUCUGUAGCAAGGUUAACCGAAUAGGGGAGCCGAAGGGAAACCGAGUCUUAACUGGGCGUUAAGUUGCAGGGUAUAGACCCGAAACCCGGUGAUCUAGCCAUGGGCAGGUUGAAGGUUGGGUAACACUAACUGGAGGACCGAACCGACUAAUGUUGAAAAAUUAGCGGAUGACUUGUGGCUGGGGGUGAAAGGCCAAUCAAACCGGGAGAUAGCUGGUUCUCCCCGAAAGCUAUUUAGG
RNAcentral lists this ribosomal RNA (453 nucleotides) under Escherichia coli. Its description in RNAcentral is "partial 23S ribosomal RNA". It matches the Rfam family "Bacterial large subunit ribosomal RNA", at positions 419 to 874 of the family's 2925-position model. The record is from RNAcentral. Lineage: Bacteria; Pseudomonadati; Pseudomonadota; Gammaproteobacteria; Enterobacterales; Enterobacteriaceae. RNAcentral also lists the same sequence under 1 other name.